UACGUAGGGUGCGAGCGUUGGCCGGAAUUACUGGGCGUAUAGAGCUCGUAGGGGGUUGGUCGCGUUGUUCGUGAAAUCUCACGGCUUAACUGUGAGCGUGCGGGCGAUACGUGCAGACUAGAGUGCUGCAGGGGAGACUGGAAUGCCUGGUGUAGCGGUGGAAUGCGCAGAUAUCAGGAGGAGCACCGGUGGCGAAGGCGGGUCUCUGGGCAGUAACUGACGCUGAGGAGCGAAAGCGUGGGGAGCGAACAGG
RNAcentral lists this ribosomal RNA (253 nucleotides) under uncultured bacterium. RNAcentral describes it as "partial 16S ribosomal RNA". It matches the Rfam family "Bacterial small subunit ribosomal RNA", at positions 524 to 776 of the family's 1533-position model. The record is from RNAcentral.